GCCGGGUUAGCUCAGGUAGUAGAGCACACGGCUGAAAACCGUGGUGUCCCCAGCGCAAGUCUGGGACCCGGCG
RNAcentral lists this transfer RNA (73 nucleotides) under Candidatus Omnitrophota bacterium. RNAcentral's name for it is "Candidatus Omnitrophica bacterium (groundwater metagenome) tRNA-Phe". It matches the Rfam family "tRNA". From Rfam's summary of the family: Transfer RNA (tRNA) molecules are approximately 80 nucleotides in length. Their secondary structure includes four short double-helical elements and three loops (D, anti-codon, and T loops). Lineage: Bacteria; Pseudomonadati; Candidatus Omnitrophota. The record is from RNAcentral.